UACGUAGGUGGCAAGCGUUAUCCGGAUUUACUGGGCGUAAAGGGCGCGUAGGCGGGCAUGCAAGUCAGAUGUGAAAUACCGAGGCUUAACCUUGGGGGGUCAUUUGAAACUGCAUGUCUUGAGUGAUGGAGAGGCAGGCGGAAUUCCUAGUGUAGCGGUGAAAUGCGUAGAUAUUAGGAGGAACACCAGUGGCGAAGGCGGCCUGCUGGACAUUAACUGACGCUGAUGCGCGAAAGCGUGGGGAGCAAACAGG
This 253-nucleotide ribosomal RNA is filed under the name uncultured bacterium. RNAcentral describes it as "partial 16S ribosomal RNA". It matches the Rfam family "Bacterial small subunit ribosomal RNA", at positions 524 to 776 of the family's 1533-position model. The record is from RNAcentral.